AUUGAACGCUGGCGGCAGGCCUAACACAUGCAAGUCGAGCGGAUGAAGGGAGCUUGCUCCUGGAUUCAGCGGCGGACGGGUGAGUAAUGCCUAGGAAUCUGCCUGGUAGUGGGGGAUAACGUCCGGAAACGGGCGCUAAUACCGCAUACGUCCUGAGGGAGAAAGUGGGGGAUCUUCGGACCUCACGCUAUCAGAUGAGCCUAGGUCGGAUUAGCUAGUUGGUGGGGUAAAGGCCUACCAAGGCGACGAUCCGUAACUGGUCUGAGAGGAUGAUCAGUCACACUGGAACUGAGACACGGUCCAGACUCCUACGGGAGGCAGCAGUGGGGAAUAUUGGACAAUGGGCGAAAGCCUGAUCCAGCAAUGCCGCGUGUGUGAAGAAGGUCUUCGGAUUGUAAAGCACUUUAAGUUGGGAGGAAGGGCAGUAAGUUAAUACAUUGCUGUCUUGACGUUACCAACAGAAUAAGCAACGGCUAACUUCGUG
Molecule: ribosomal RNA, 484 nt
Filed under: uncultured bacterium
Lineage: Bacteria
Description: partial 16S ribosomal RNA
Rfam family: Bacterial small subunit ribosomal RNA
Source: RNAcentral